AACGUAGGUGGCGAGCGUUAUCCGGAUUCAUUGGGCGUAAAGGGUGCGUAGGCGGCGCGGUAAGUCGGAUGUGAAAUCUCGGAGCUUAACUUCGAAACUGCAUUCGAUACUGCGGUGCUUGAGGACUGGAGAGGAGACUGGAAUUCAUGGUGUAGCAGUGAAAUGCGUAGAGAUCAUGAGGAAGACCAGUGGCGAAGGCGGGUCUCUGGACAGUUCCUGACACUGAGGCACGAAGGCCAGGGGAGCAAACGGG
RNAcentral lists this ribosomal RNA (253 nucleotides) under uncultured bacterium. RNAcentral describes it as "partial 16S ribosomal RNA". It matches the Rfam family "Bacterial small subunit ribosomal RNA", at positions 524 to 776 of the family's 1533-position model. The record is from RNAcentral.